CCUACGGGAGGCAGCAGUGGGGAAUAUUGGACAAUGGGCGAAAGCCUGAUCCAGCAAUGCCGCGUGAGUGAUGAAGGCCUUAGGGUUGUAAAGCUCUUUUACCAGGGAUGAUAAUGACAGUACCUGGAGAAUAAGCUCCGGCUAACUCCGUGCCAGCAGCCGCGGUAAUACGGAGGGAGCUAGCGUUGUUCGGAAUUACUGGGCGUAAAGAGUACGUAGGCGGUUAUUCAAGUCAGAGGUGAAAGCCCGGGGCUCAACCCCGGAACUGCCUUUGAAACUAGAUAGCUAGAAUCUUGGAGAGGUCAGUGGAAUUCCGAGUGUAGAGGUGAAAUUCGUAGAUAUUCGGAAGAACACCAGUGGCGAAGGCGACUGACUGGACAAGUAUUGACGCUGAGGUACGAAAGCGUGGGGAGCAAACAGGAUUAGAUACCCUGGUAGUCCACGCCGUAAACGAUGAUAACUAGUUGUUCGGGCACUUGGUGCCUGAGUGACGCAGCUACGCAUUAAGUUAUCCGUCCGUCGGGUAGGUACGGUCGCGAGAAGUUAAAACGUUAAAACGUUAGUAAGUUAGUAACGGUCGUGUUAGACGUGUUCCGAACGGACGACGACGAGGGGAGGUUAGGG
RNAcentral lists this ribosomal RNA (624 nucleotides) under uncultured bacterium. RNAcentral's name for it is "bacterial SSU rRNA". The stretch from base 1 to 517 matches the Rfam family "Bacterial small subunit ribosomal RNA", at positions 338 to 873 of the family's 1533-position model. The record is from RNAcentral.